Molecule: long non-coding RNA, 1361 nt
Organism: Micropterus dolomieu (smallmouth bass)
Lineage: Eukaryota; Metazoa; Chordata; Actinopteri; Centrarchiformes; Centrarchidae
Exons: 2
Source: RefSeq, a predicted model, not a curated record
AGUACUGCAAGAACCCUUAUCUCACAGCAAAGUUUCUUUGUUCCACUUCUUUGCAGGCCAGUGCCUUUCUUUAAAUGUGGAGAGAUUUGGUAAUAAUCAGUUGUCAAAGUUGUCCGUCCCUUUUUUUCCAAUUGUAGAUUAAGGGGGGUCUUGUGAGGAUCACAGAAGGACAAUAGUUUUGUUUACCAGCAAUGUCUCUCCCUCCCACUUUCACUUUCUCUCCCUUUCUGAGUGCACACCAUUGGAGGCGUCUCAGCAGGGGGGCAUCCUCCCUUUCCAGGCUGAAUGCACUUGCUACAGUAAACAUCCUCUCUCCUGCCUCCCCCUGGGAUGAGCAGACAGACACAAAUCACUGUGUCGAUGCGAUGGGGCGAGGCGAGAAAGAAAAAGGGAGUGAAGGACACGCUUUGUUUUUAUUGCAGCCAAGUAUGAUGAGAGCAGGUGGCCAUUCCAGUCACUGAUAUCUGAUAGUGUCCGUGGGAGCUGAAGAGAGGAGCUUAUGCUCUCUGGCAGACAGCCAGAGGGCUGGACAGGGGCACAGCAGGAGUCCUCAGGCGGAUGGCUUGGGGGCAGAACAGAUAGGCGGAGCAGGUCUGGAGGGCAACCAAAAAGCAGGACUGAUGGGCUGAGUAGAUCUGAAGGGCGACCAGGAAGCAAGACCGAAGGGCUGAGCAGGUCCAGUGGGCAACCAGGAGGCAAGACCGAAGGACAGAGCAAGUCCGGAGGGUGACCAGGAGACAGGACAGCGGCAUGGAGAAGAAACUAGGCAGUGGCGUAGAUGAGGAGCAGGGCAGUGGAGGCUCUGGGGUGAUGAGAGACUUAGAUUGCCAAUGGUGUUGGGAGCCAUGACGUCCUCGUCUACUCUUGUGGCCUCCACGGGACCCAGGGGACUCUUGUGGCUAGCAGGGCAGGAUGAAGGCUGGUGGCUAGCAUGCAUGAAGCUUGCUGAUAGGUCAUCAGGCUGAAGAGCAGACUGAGGUGCAGACUGAAAGCUAGCGGACCAGAUGCUAGCAGGCUGGACUGGAGACUUACUGCUAGCAGACUGGAAUGCCAGCUGAAAUGCAGGGGUGCUAAGAAAGUCUGUAGCCCACUAAGGUACUGAAUCCUUCAGCCAAGGCUUUGAGAACACAACUUUAUGUGAUUCUCUAUGAAAGUCACUGACUGUCCUCUACAUAACCUUAAAGUGAUAAGAUCUGUGACUACAUCAUAAAGUUUAUCCGAGUUGGUGUCUGCUGGUCAGAUUGUUCUGUUACGUUAGCCAAGCACAGACACAGAAAAACAAGAGCUUAGGAACCAAACGCAGGACACCCAGGCUGAGCAGGUUUGGUUCUCAGUGUUUAUAAAUAAAAGUAUACAACUUA